UACGUAGGUCCCGAGCGUUGUCCGGAUUUAUUGGGCGUAAAGCGAGCGCAGGUGGUUUAUUAAGUCUGGUGUAAAAGGCAGUGGCUCAACCAUUGUAUGCAUUGGAAACUGGUAGACUUGAGUGCAGGAGAAGAGAGUGGAAUUCCAUGUGUAGCGGUGAAAUGCGUAGAUAUAUGGAGGAACACCGGUGGCGAAAGCGGCUCUCUGGCCUGUAACUGACACUGAGGCUCAAAAGCGUGGGGAGCAAACAGG
Molecule: ribosomal RNA, 252 nt
Filed under: uncultured bacterium
Lineage: Bacteria
Description: partial 16S ribosomal RNA
Rfam family: Bacterial small subunit ribosomal RNA
Source: RNAcentral